UGCAGUGAUACGGCUGAAGUUUGUCCCAGCUCGCUUUCCAUCCCUCAGGCAGCUAGGCUUCACUCAGUGCCUCAAACAGGGAAGAAUCUCCAUCAACACCAGGGGAGUUGUGACUCACUUUGAAGUCUCUGUGUCGCAUUUACACUUAUGAUUAAACUCAAAAACACUGGAAUGUGGAGUUAGUCUGUUCAGCUGGUGUAGCUUAUUCAACAACUUUAACCUCCGAUAUUCAACAAGUAGGACUGCUCUCUCAGCAGCUCGACGCUUUAUACACAAAAGUUGCUCCAGUUUGUCCCUGUGGAGCACUUUGCAGUGAGUACCCUUCUCCUUCGGACAUCUAGGCUUCGAGCAGGCCGUGACUCUGUGGCCAUGAGGAAUCAUGGCGGAGCUGGAGGUGGAUCAGUCUAACCUGCCGCGGGUUCAGGAGGAUUUGUUGGACCUUGGUGAUCAC
Molecule: long non-coding RNA, 451 nt
Organism: Ictalurus punctatus (channel catfish)
Lineage: Eukaryota; Metazoa; Chordata; Actinopteri; Siluriformes; Ictaluridae
Source: Ensembl